Small nucleolar RNA from Saimiri boliviensis boliviensis (Bolivian squirrel monkey), 133 nucleotides. The record is from Ensembl. Lineage: Eukaryota; Metazoa; Chordata; Mammalia; Primates; Cebidae.
GUGCAAACGUGAUUACUAGCUCUGCGUGAUGUGGCAGAAGCAAAGGGAACCAGGUUUGCGAAAGUAACUAUGGUGAUAGAAAUGUGUAAGCUUCAGACACUACUGAGAUGGCCCUUUCUAUCUUAGUACAUUC